UCCAGAACCAGAACUGCGAAUCAAGG
Molecule: non-coding RNA, 26 nt
Filed under: Mus musculus (house mouse)
Lineage: Eukaryota; Metazoa; Chordata; Mammalia; Rodentia; Muridae
Source: RNAcentral